RNAcentral lists this ribosomal RNA (207 nucleotides) under uncultured bacterium. RNAcentral describes it as "partial 16S ribosomal RNA". It matches the Rfam family "Bacterial small subunit ribosomal RNA", at positions 568 to 774 of the family's 1533-position model. The record is from RNAcentral.
UGCGUAGGUUGUUUGUUAAGUCAGAUGUGAAAGCCCCGGGCUCAACCUGGGAACUGCAUUUGAUACUGUCAGGCUAGAGUGUGGUAGAGGGAAGUGGAAUUCCGGGUGUAGCGGUGAAAUGCGUAGAUAUCCGGAGGAACACCGGUGGCGAAGGCGGCUUCCUGGACCGACACUGACACUGAGGCACGAAAGCGUGGGUAGCAAACA